AUGGAUCAUCUAGAUGGAGAU
Molecule: microRNA, 21 nt
Filed under: Arabidopsis thaliana (thale cress)
Lineage: Eukaryota; Viridiplantae; Streptophyta; Magnoliopsida; Brassicales; Brassicaceae
Description: ath-miR8172
Source: miRBase by way of RNAcentral